GAUGAACGCUGGCGGCGUGCCUAAUACAUGCAAGUCGAGCGAACAGACGAGGAGCUUGCUCCUCUGACGUUAGCGGCGGACGGGUGAGUAACACGUGGAUAACCUACCUAUAAGACUGGGAUAACUUCGGGAAACCGGAGCUAAUACCGGAUAAUAUAUUGAACCGCAUGGUUCAAUAGUGAAAGACGGUUUUGCUGUCACUUAUAGAUGGAUCCGCGCCGCAUUAGCUAGUUGGUAAGGUAACGGCUUACCAAGGCAACGAUGCUUACCCGACCUGAGAGGGUGAUCGGCCACACUGGACCUGAGACACGGUCCAGACUCCUACGGGAGGCAGCAGUAGCGGAUCUUCCGCAAUGGGCGGAAGCUUGGCGGAGCAACGCCGCGUGAGUGAUGAAGGUCUUCGGAUCGUAAAACUCUGUUAUUAGGGAAGAACAAAUGUGUAAGUAACUAUGCACGUCUUGACGGUACCUAAUCAGAAAGCCACGGCUAACUACGUG
This 497-nucleotide ribosomal RNA is filed under the name uncultured bacterium. RNAcentral's name for it is "partial 16S ribosomal RNA". It matches the Rfam family "Bacterial small subunit ribosomal RNA", at positions 28 to 507 of the family's 1533-position model. The record is from RNAcentral.